UACGUAGGGUGCAAGCGUUAAUCGGAAUUACUGGGCGUAAAGCGUGCGCAGGCGGUUUUGUAAGACAGGCGUGAAAUCCCCGGGCUCAACCUGGGAACUGCAUUUGUGACUGCAAGGCUAGAGUACGGCAGAGGGGGAUGGAAUUCCGCGUGUAGCAGUGAAAUGCGUAGAUAUGCGGAGGAACACCAAUGGCGAAGGCAAUCCCCUGGGCCUGUACUGGCGCUCAUGCACGAAAGCGUGGGGAGCAAACAGG
Molecule: ribosomal RNA, 253 nt
Filed under: uncultured bacterium
Lineage: Bacteria
Description: partial 16S ribosomal RNA
Rfam family: Bacterial small subunit ribosomal RNA
Source: RNAcentral